GGAGGUAGAGCUCAGGGGCAGAGCACGUGCUUAGCAUGCACAAGGUUCUGAGUUCAAUCCCCAGUACCUCCA
RNAcentral lists this transfer RNA (72 nucleotides) under Camelus bactrianus (Bactrian camel). It matches the Rfam family "tRNA". Rfam says of the family: Transfer RNA (tRNA) molecules are approximately 80 nucleotides in length. RNAcentral also lists the same sequence under 2 other names. Lineage: Eukaryota; Metazoa; Chordata; Mammalia; Artiodactyla; Camelidae. The record is from Rfam by way of RNAcentral.